RNAcentral lists this ribosomal RNA (468 nucleotides) under uncultured bacterium. RNAcentral's name for it is "partial 16S ribosomal RNA". It matches the Rfam family "Bacterial small subunit ribosomal RNA", at positions 28 to 507 of the family's 1533-position model. The record is from RNAcentral.
GACGAACGCUGGCGGCGUGCUUAACACAUGCGAGUCGAACGGAAAGGCCCUGCUUUUGUGGGGUGCUCGAGUGGCGAACGGGUGAGUAACACGUGAGUAACCUGCCCUUGACUUUGGGAUAACUUCAGGAAACUGGGGCUAAUACCGGAUAGGAGCUCCUGCUGCAUGGUGGGGGUUGGAAAGUUUCGGCGGUUGGGGAUGGACUCGCGGCUUAUCAGCUUGUUGGUGGGGUAGUGGCUUUCCAAGGCUUUGACGGGUAGCCGGCCUGAGAGGGUGACCGGCCACAUUGGGACUGAGAUACGGCCCAGACUCCUACGGGAGGCAGCAGUGGGGAAUAUUGCACAAUGGGCGGAAGCCUGAUGCAGCAACGCCGCGUGCGGGAUGACGGCCUUCGGGUUGUAAACCGCUUUCGCCUGUGACGAAGCGUGAGUGACGGUAAUGGGUAAAGAAGCACCGGCUAACUACGUG